AUUGAACGCUGGCGGCAGGCCUAACACAUGCAAGUCGAACGGUAACAGGAAACAGCUUGCUGUUUCGCUGACGAGUGGCGGACGGGUGAGUAACGUCUGGGAAACUGCCUGAUGGAGGGGGAUAACUACUGGAAACGGUAGCUAAUACCGCAUAACGUCGCAAGACCAAAGAGGGGGACCUUCGGGCCUCUUGCCAUCGGAUGUGCCCAGAUGGGAUUAGCUAGUAGGUGGGGUAACGGCUCACCUAGGCGACGAUCCCUAGCUGGUCUGAGAGGAUGACCAGCCACACUGGAACUGAGACACGGUCCAGACUCCUACGGGAGGCAGCAGUGGGGAAUAUUGCACAAUGGGCGCAAGCCUGAUGCAGCCAUGCCGCGUGUAUGAAGAAGGCCUUCGGGUUGUAAAGUACUUUCAGCGGGGAGGAAGGGAGUAAAGUUAAUACCUUUACUCAUUGACGUUACCCGCAGAAGAAGCACCGGCUAACUCCGUG
This 490-nucleotide ribosomal RNA is filed under the name uncultured bacterium. RNAcentral describes it as "partial 16S ribosomal RNA". It matches the Rfam family "Bacterial small subunit ribosomal RNA", at positions 30 to 507 of the family's 1533-position model. The record is from RNAcentral.